CGGUGUGUAGCUCAGCAGCAGAGCGCCCGGCUCUUAUCCGGGAGGGCGCGGGGGCGGAACCCGCCGCACCGG
This 72-nucleotide transfer RNA is filed under the name Nocardiopsis sp. JB363. It matches the Rfam family "tRNA". From Rfam's summary of the family: Transfer RNA (tRNA) molecules are approximately 80 nucleotides in length. Their secondary structure includes four short double-helical elements and three loops (D, anti-codon, and T loops). Further hydrogen bonds mediate the characteristic L-shaped molecular structure. tRNAs have two regions of fundamental functional importance: the anti-codon, which is responsible for specific mRNA codon recognition, and the 3' end, to which the tRNAs corresponding amino acid is attached (by aminoacyl-tRNA synthetases). tRNAs cope with the degeneracy of the genetic code in two manners: having more than one tRNA (with a specific anti-codon) for a particular amino acid; and 'wobble' base-pairing, i.e. permitting non-standard base-pairing at the 3rd anti-codon position. Lineage: Bacteria; Bacillati; Actinomycetota; Actinomycetes; Streptosporangiales; Nocardiopsidaceae. The record is from Rfam by way of RNAcentral.